This is a non-coding RNA of Odocoileus virginianus texanus, 709 nucleotides long. NCBI's taxonomy places the organism in Eukaryota, Metazoa, Chordata, Mammalia, Artiodactyla, Cervidae. The record is from RefSeq and is a predicted model, not a curated record.
UUUCCAUUAUGGUUGAUCACAGAGCAUUGAAUACAUUUCCCUGUGCUUUACAGCUGGACCUUCUCCCUUCCACUCUGUUCCAGAGUUUGCAUCUGCAUCCCCAAACUCAACAAGGUUUCUUGUUUCUGGUGUCUGCCCCCUGUGGGUGAGGCUGUUUCAGAGCCUGGCCCCUGGCUUUUGGGUGGGACCAGAUCUUGUUGCUCUGGACUCAGGCAAAAUGUCUGACCCCAGGAGAGCCACAGCUUCCCCCUGCCUCCUAGGAGACCCUCUGACACCAGCAGGUGUGUCUGGAACAGAUGCCUAUGAAGUCACUGCUUUGCCCUGGGUCCCAGUACCCCCUUUGAGUGGAGUCUGUUUCCUCUGUCCUGUGAAGCUCCUGCAAUCAAGUCAGUGGGAUGGCUUGUGGUUCCUUCUUUAUGUCUUUAGCUAUAGAACAUCUUUUUUGAAUCCCAUGGACAGAGGAGCCUGGGGGGCUGCAGUCUGUGGGGUGGCGGAGUCAGACACCAGGCACGACUGAGCGACUGCCAUGGACUAUUACGGGGUGUCUUUCUGGAUUAAAAGUAGAUUUAGAGACAGGUGAAGAGUGAAAUGGGUGUGUAAGAAGACCGAAAAGAAGCUCAGAUAAACCUGUCAAUUAAAAAUAAACUUCACAGAUGUUCACAUCUUUCUCUGAAAAAUAAUCUCAGGAGUUUAAUUCACCAUUAAUUGU